RNAcentral lists this ribosomal RNA (484 nucleotides) under uncultured bacterium. Its description in RNAcentral is "partial 16S ribosomal RNA". It matches the Rfam family "Bacterial small subunit ribosomal RNA", at positions 30 to 507 of the family's 1533-position model. The record is from RNAcentral.
AUUGAACGCUGGCGGCAGGCCUAACACAUGCAAGUCGAGCGGAUGAAGGGAGCUUGCUCCUGGAUUCAGCGGCGGACGGGUGAGUAAUGCCUAGGAAUCUGCCUGGCAGCGGGGGAUAACGUCCGAAAACGGGCGCUAAUACCGCAUACGUCCUGAGGUAGAAAGUGGGGGAUCUUCGGGCCUCACGCUCUCAGAUGAGCCUAGGUCGGAUUAGCUAGUUGGUGGGGUAAAGGCCUACCAAGGCGACGAUCCGUAACUGGUCUGAGAGGAUGAUCAGUCACACUGGAACUGAGACACGGUCCAGACUCCUACGGGAGGCAGCAGUGGGGAAUAUUGGACAAUGGGCGAAAGCCUGAUCCAGCCAUGCCGCGUGUGUGAAGAAGGUCUUCGGAUUGUAAAGCACUUUAAGUUGGGAGGAAGGGCAGUAAGUUAAUACCUUGCUGUUUUGACGUUACCAACAGAAUAAGCACCGGCUAACUUCGUG